This 253-nucleotide ribosomal RNA is filed under the name uncultured bacterium. Its description in RNAcentral is "partial 16S ribosomal RNA". It matches the Rfam family "Bacterial small subunit ribosomal RNA", at positions 524 to 776 of the family's 1533-position model. The record is from RNAcentral.
UACGUAGGCGGCGAGCGUUGUCCGGAUUUAUUGGGUUUAAAGGGUGCGUAGGCGGCUUUGUAAGUCAGUGGUGAAAUACUCCAGCUUAACUGGAGGGGUGCCAUUGAUACUGCGGAGCUUGAGUACAGAUGAGGUAGGCGGAAUUGACGGUGUAGCGGUGAAAUGCAUAGAUAUCGUCAAGAACACCGAUAGCGAAGGCAGCUUACUGGGCUGUAACUGACGCUGAUGCACGAAAGUGUGGGGAUCAAACAGG